AUGCAGGGCAGGUUGCAGGGGUGCAGAGGGCUGCAGGGCGGGUUGCACGGGCGCAGUGGGCUACAGGGCGGGCUACUGGAGUGCAAGGCAGGUUGCAGGGCGGCCGGCAGGGCUGCAGGGCGGGUUGCAGGGGCACAGCGGGCUGCAGGGGUGCAGAGGGCUGCAGGGCGGGCCUCGGAGGGCUGUAGGGAGGGCUACAGGGUUGCAGGGCGGGCCUCGGAGGGCUGCAGGGCAGGUUGCGGGGGUGCAGAGGGCUGCAGGGCGGGUUGCAGAGGCGCAGCGGGCUGCAGGGCGGGCUCCAGGGCGGGUUGCAGGGGUGCCGCGGGCUCCAGAGCGGGCCGCAGGGGCGCAGCGGGCUGCAGGGCGGGCCUCGGAGGGCUGCAGGUCGCCCCGGGGCGCCCUCACGCCUUCCCGCCCGGCGACGUCCAGCGGGCCGCCCGGAGGCCAGCGGGACCCGAGGCCCGGUCGCAGCUCGGCCCCCCGCGAGCCGCGGAACCAGCGGGACCGUUCGCACCCCCCCCCCCCCCGCAGCGGCCGCUCUCACCCACGCGCCCGACUCGGCCUCCGAGCCCCGGGAAGCCAGCGGCCAGGCCGGGCCCGCAGCGGCCCCCGCCCCUCCGAGGUCGCGGCCGGAGCCGUCUCCCUGACGACGGGCGGCCGCCGGACCCGAGGCUCACCCGCGCCGCAGCCGCAGCCGCAGCCGCGCUCCCGGUCCGGCCGCCGCCGCCGCUCCCAGCAGCCCGCGGGGCACCCCCGGGCCCCGCCCCCGGCGCCUGCGCCUGCGCCCUCGGAGCGCGCCGAUUGGCUGAGCCCCGGCCAAGGAAGCUGAGCGUCGGCAGCGGGUCCGCCGCGCGGAACGGGGGCCGCGCGCCCCCUGGCGGCCUGGAGGCUUCCCAGCGACGUGCGCGGAGACCGUCGGUGCAAGGUCAUCAUCACUGGUCCCCAACACCCACAGACAUGAAUGACAGUGCUCCCUGCCUUGGAGGAGAUGUCCUUAGCGGGCCAUGGUGUAGAACCCGAGAGCUCUUCGGACGUGGGCCGGCUCUGGCCGGGUGA
This 1056-nucleotide long non-coding RNA is filed under the name Canis lupus familiaris (dog). RNAcentral describes it as "lncRNA (ENSCAFG00030015493.1, ENSCAFG00805014548.1)". The record is from RNAcentral. Lineage: Eukaryota; Metazoa; Chordata; Mammalia; Carnivora; Canidae.